This is a long non-coding RNA of Rhipicephalus microplus (southern cattle tick), 300 nucleotides long. The record is from RefSeq and is a predicted model, not a curated record. NCBI's taxonomy places the organism in Eukaryota, Metazoa, Arthropoda, Arachnida, Ixodida, Ixodidae.
GUGCCAAGGCGAGGGAGCGAAGAAAUGCGCAUGGAGCUCAGAUUGCCAUGCGUUGAAACAGGAGGUGAUGGCACAGAUACUCUGCACCUGCCAGCUCCCACUGCAUCAAGAUCAGCUGACGGGGAGACUGGUGCUCAAAGCAAGCCAUCAGGCUCCAGGAGAGGAGGUGGAGGCAAGUAUAUUAACACUGAGUGUCUACAAUUGCCUCAGCAAGUGUUCUUGGGUAAAUCUAACAAGCAUGCAUCAGAGCGUGUAAAAGUGUACUUGUAGGAGUGAUCCUUAAAUGACAAAAAAAAAAGA